Molecule: long non-coding RNA, 499 nt
Filed under: Cairina moschata (Muscovy duck)
Lineage: Eukaryota; Metazoa; Chordata; Aves; Anseriformes; Anatidae
Description: domestica (muscovy Duck (domestic type)) lncRNA (ENSCMMG00000001641.1)
Source: RNAcentral
UUGGUGUCAAAUUCUAUUAGUCCUCCAAGAUCAGGUUUUAAGCAAUGUGGCUGAUUAUACUUCCCUAAGUUUUUGUGUAUUGUAAUAUUUCCUUAUGUUUAAAGCAGUUGUAUUUUGGGAGACAACAAAUAAAUGUUUUCUCCUGUUUAUUUCUUUCCACAGUCUUCUGUCUCCCUUCAUGCACAUACAGAUGAAUUCUCUGUAGUUUCUCCAGGGGGUGAUAACAGCAAGGCUCCUUCCCUCUGGAAACACAUGCAACUUUGUUGGAGUAAUAAAAACACCGAAAAGGAGAACCAGCAGCAGAUGCAGGUAUGCAGGAGUUCACAACUUGCUGAGAGGAGCUUAAUGAUGAAGAUGUGCUUCCUAAGCAUUCAAGAUGUUUCAGAGGACUUUGCAAAAAUGUGGUAAUUAAAUUCACUGUCCCCCUUAUAUCAGGUGGGUAUUUAAUUGAAAAGGGGCAGACCUGAUACUUCUGCAGCCACUGGCAGCAAGCGCAUUU